Molecule: long non-coding RNA, 308 nt
Organism: Arachis stenosperma
Lineage: Eukaryota; Viridiplantae; Streptophyta; Magnoliopsida; Fabales; Fabaceae
Exons: 4
Source: RefSeq, a predicted model, not a curated record
CGCACCUUGCAUCCCUCCAGGCAAAAAGUGAUAUAGAAUCUCAGAUUGUAUCUGCCAUCUGCCUCAUCCUAAACCAGAAAAAUGAAAAGAGGUUUCAGGAACAAAUAUACUGUCUCCCCCCCGAUAUUGUGAGCAUGGCACUUUCGGAUCACCCAAGGGGGGAAUUCAUAUCCCCGAAAACGGAAAAGGAAUUCAGGGUGGAAGCCUACCCGAGUUUCAUUCACUUCAUAGAUAGAAAAAAAUUAAGUUCGCAUCCAUAUAUUUUUGCUCCUGUUUGCCACUCGGGACAUUGGUGGUUAUGGCUGAUA